GGAUGUGAGCUGGCUGUGACAUGUCACCCCACUGGUCACCAAGGUUAAUGUGGCUGAUCUGGCUGGCUAGGCAGGUGUCUCCCUUCCUUCCUCACCACUCCAUGUGACCCCUUCCCAUAGCUGCACUCUUGGUCAAAGACGAUGACCCUUCCCCAAACAGAGGAGGAGUGAUCUUUGGUCAUGUGUUCCCCUGCUAGAACCUUCCAAACAUGCUCUGGAGGUUUUGCCAUUUUAAGUAUAGUUGUUUACAAUACUUAAAGACUGGAAGCCUAAAAUGUCCAAAAUACAAAGUUAUUUGAAGAAGUUGCCAAGUUUCUU
This 318-nucleotide small RNA is filed under the name Mus pahari (shrew mouse). RNAcentral's name for it is "sRNA (MGP_PahariEiJ_G0008014.1)". It matches the Rfam family "7SK RNA". From Rfam's summary of the family: 7SK was discovered as an abundant small nuclear RNA in the mid-70s but a possible function has only recently been suggested. Two independent studies have found that 7SK RNA binds the CDK9/cyclin T complex (known as elongation factor P-TEFb). The record is from RNAcentral. Lineage: Eukaryota; Metazoa; Chordata; Mammalia; Rodentia; Muridae.